GAGGGAGAAGCAGGCUCACUGCAGGGAGCCCAAUGCGGGACUCAAUCCCGGGACCCCAGGAUCAUGCCCUGAGACGAAGGCAGACGCUCAAGCACUGAGGCACCAGGCGUCCCUACGGAGCACUCUUAGAACGUCUGCCGAGGGCCCUCCGGGCGCCCUCACUGUGCCUCUGCCCAGCCUUUGCUUCAUCUCCUUGUCACAACCUGAGAAGUGGGUAUCAGGGUCAUUGAUGCUCCGGGCGCAGACACGAAAGCCAGUGCUCAGGAUCUCAACGACAGUACGUGGCCGGGCCAGGACGAGAACGCGGGUCGUCCAGGAGCCCGCGGCCCCCCGGAGCCCCCCGGAGCCCCCCGGAGCCCCCCGGCGGGGCACAUCCAGCACGUGCCUCCCCGUCCAGCGGAGCUCCAGGAGCCAGAGCGCGUCGUCCAAAAAAGUUGGAUAUAAGAAGUGGUCCCGCACCUGAACAUGUACAAACCCGACAAAGAUGCCCAGAACCAGGAGCAGCAUAAGCUGUCGGGACUCGAGGAUGGGAAAACGAGAGCUUUCCUCCGGGAGGCUUUUCCAGAAGAGAGAGGCGAGGAAAGCAGCUAGGUGCUUCAGCUACGAGGAAUAAUCCCCUCCACCCAAGAAGGGAGCGCAUCUGCGGCCCUCCAGGGAAGGAGCCGGCUCUGUGACCCGCCCCCCUCACCUGCGUUCUGGAAGUUCUCAGGCCUCACCUCACUCCUUCCUGCUGCAACAUCGGGCCCAGUUUCUCGAGGCCUCGGAAGGCACCUGCUCGCUGACCUGGCCUGGAAAGGGGGGAGGCCGCCUGCGCUCCCCACGGCCCUCUCCUGGCCCCCGACUUGGCCCAUCCAUGAUCUCCACGGUGGCAUGAGAGCCCAGGGAGCUGUGCCAGCAGGAGCUUGUGGGCAGGGAGGGGGCAGAGAGAGCAGAAGACCAGCAGGAAGAUGUUGGGGGAAGAUGUGGACAGUGGACGGGGAAGGACACGCAGAUCCCACCUACGGUCUCGCUUUUUUAAAGUCUAGGCUGAUGAUUUCUAGAUGCAGAGGAAGACGAUUCUAAGGCUUGCGGCACUUCCUUUUCUUUAUUCAAAUAAUACAAAUUCAUUGUUGAAAAAUUUAACACAAUAUAGGGAAUAAAAUAAAAUUAGGAACAGUA
Canis lupus familiaris (dog) is the source of this 1158-nucleotide long non-coding RNA. RefSeq lists it as uncharacterized. The record is from RefSeq and is a predicted model, not a curated record. NCBI's taxonomy places the organism in Eukaryota, Metazoa, Chordata, Mammalia, Carnivora, Canidae. The transcript is spliced from 3 exons.